CCUACGGGAGGCAGCAGUGGGGAAUAUUGCACAAUGGGGGAAACCCUGAUGCAGCGACGCCGCGUGAGUGAAGAAGUAUCUCGGUACGUAAAGCUCUAUCAGCAGGGAAGAAAAUGACUGUACCUGACUAAGAAGCUCCGGCUAACUACGUGCCAGCAGCCGCGGGAAUACGGAGGGGGCAAGCGUUAUCCGGAUUUACUGGGUGUUAAGGGAGCGUAGGCGGCAGCACAAGUCAGGAGUGAAAUCCCGGGGCUUAACCCUGGAACUGCAUUGGAAACUGUGAGGCUGGAGUGCAGGAGGGGUAAGCGGAAUUCCUAGUGUAGCGGUGAAAUGCGUAGAUAUUAGGAGGAACACCGAUGGCGAAGGCGGCUUACUGGACUGUAACUGACGUUGAGGCUCGAAAGUGUGGGGAGCAAACAGGAUUAGAUACCCGAGUAGUC
This 440-nucleotide ribosomal RNA is filed under the name uncultured bacterium. RNAcentral describes it as "partial 16S ribosomal RNA". It matches the Rfam family "Bacterial small subunit ribosomal RNA", at positions 338 to 795 of the family's 1533-position model. The record is from RNAcentral.